GUUGCAUUUUUAGCAAGCUAUCCAGCUAGGAAUUCACCCCCUCUGAGGCCUGAGGAUGCCACAGACAGGAAAGCUGCAGAGCCACACAGCUGCCAGGCCGGGAAGUUGGAACUGUUAUCAGAAGCUGCACUGCCCUGGGAUUCAGCUUUAGAACAAGAGACAGAAGGAAGGGCAGAAGGAAUCCAGAGAGGACAGUAGCCAGAAGAGCAAAGAGGCUCUGAUUUCUACAGUGUCCCUUGUGAAAUGUUAGGGCUAAUGAAAAAUAUGACAGAAAGGUGGAAGAAAACGUGCAAUAUUAUUUAAAAUUCAAUCAAAGUACCGAAAAGAAUAAGAUAGUAACCACUGGAGAAGCAACGUUAAGACAUUAAGAGGAGACUUCUUAAGUC
This is a long non-coding RNA of Talpa occidentalis (Iberian mole), 386 nucleotides long. RefSeq lists it as uncharacterized. Lineage: Eukaryota; Metazoa; Chordata; Mammalia; Eulipotyphla; Talpidae. The transcript has 4 exons. The record is from RefSeq and is a predicted model, not a curated record.